Gossypium arboreum is the source of this 158-nucleotide non-coding RNA. The record is from Rfam. Lineage: Eukaryota; Viridiplantae; Streptophyta; Magnoliopsida; Malvales; Malvaceae.
UUGCCUUAAACUAAUGAGUAAGGAAAACAAAGCGAGCGGUAGGAGCUGCUUGCGGCGCCCAGCUUUCGGGGCGCAAGAAUUUGUGGAGGUGCAAAAGGCUGGCCGAGUGCUGACGCUGCGCUUACUUUGAGCAGAACUCGUUCGAGCGGGCCUACCAA